Molecule: unclassified non-coding RNA, 400 nt
Filed under: uncultured fungus
Lineage: Eukaryota; Fungi
Description: sequence contains ITS1
Source: RNAcentral
CCGUCAAUUCAUUUGAGUUUCAACCUUGCGGUCGUACUCCCCAGGCGGAGUGCUUAAUGCGUUAGCUACGGCACUAAACCCCGGAAAGGGUCUAACACCUAGCACUCAUCGUUUACAGCGUGGACUACCAGGGUAUCUAAUCCUGUUUGCUCCCCACGCUUUCGAGCCUCAGCGUCAGUUACAAGCCAGAGAGCCGCUUUCGCCACCGGUGUUCCUCCAUAUAUCUACGCAUUUCACCGCUACACAUGGAAUUCCACUCUCCCCUCUUGCACUCAAGUUAAACAGUUUCCAAAGCCUACUAUGGUUAAGCCACAGCCUUUAACUUCAGACUUAUCUAACCGCCUGCGCUCGCUUUACGCCCAAUAAAUCCGGACAACGCUCGGGACCUACGUAUUACCGC